AGCGUACACGGUGGAUGCCCUGGCAGUCAGAGGCGAUGAAGGACGUGCUAAUCUGCGAUAAGCGUCGGUAAGGUGAUAUGAACCGUUAUAACCGGCGAUUUCCGAAUGGGGAAACCCAGUGUGAUUCGUCACACUAUCAUUAACUGAAUCCAUAGGUUAAUGAGGCGAACCGGGGGAACUGAAACAUCUAAGUACCCCGAGGAAAAGAAAUCAACCGAGAUUCCCCCAGUAGCGGCGAGCGAACGGGGAGCAGCCCAGAGCCUGAAUCAGUGUGUGUGUUAGUGGAAGCGUCUGGAAAGGCGCGCGAUACAGGGUGACAGCCCCGUACACAAAAAUGCACAUGCUGUGAGCUCGAUGAGUAGGGCGGGACACGUGGUAUCCUGUCUGAAUAUGGGGGGACCAUCCUCCAAGGCUAAAUACUCCUGACUGACCGAUAGUGAACCAGUACCGUGAGGGAAAGGCGAAAAGAACCCCGGCGAGGGGAGUGAAAAAGAACCUGAAACCGUGUACGUACAAGCAGUGGGAGCACAGAGCAAUCUGUGUGACUGCGUACCUUUUGUAUAAUGGGUCAGCGACUUAUAUUCUGUAGCAAGGUUAACCGAAUAGGGGAGCCGAAGGGAAACCGAGUCUUAACUGGGCGUUAAGUUGCAGGGUAUAGACCCGAAACCCGGUGAUCUAGCCAUGGGCAGGUUGAAGGUUGGGUAACACUAACUGGAGGACCGAACCGACUAAUGUUGAAAAAUUAGCGGAUGACUUGUGGCUGGGGGUGAAAGGCCAAUCAAACCGGGAGAUAGCUGGUUCUCCCCGAAAGCUAUUUAGGUAGCGCCUCGUGAAUUCAUCUCCGGGGGUAGAGCACUGUUUCGGCAAGGGGGUCAUCCCGACUUACCAACCCGAUGCAAACUGCGAAUACCGGAGAAUGUUAUCACGGGAGACACACGGCGGGUGCUAACGUCCGUCGUGAAGAGGGAAACAACCCAGACCGCCAGCUAAGGUCCCAAAGUCAUGGUUAAGUGGGAAACGAUGUGGGAAGGCCCAGACAGCCAGGAUGUUGGCUUAGAAGCAGCCAUCAUUUAAAGAAAGCGUAAUAGCUCACUGGUCGAGUCGGCCUGCGCGGAAGAUGUAACGGGGCUAAACCAUGCACCGAAGCUGCGGCAGCGACGCUGAUGCGUUGUUGGGUAGGGGAGCGUUCUGUAAGCCUGCGAAGGUGUGCUGUGAGGCAUGCUGGAGGUAUCAGAAGUGCGAAUGCUGACAUAAGUAACGAUAAAGCGGGUGAAAAGCCCGCUCGCCGGAAGACCAAGGGUUCCUGUCCAACGUUAAUCGGGGCAGGGUGAGUCGACCCCUAAGGCGAGGCCGAAAGGCGUAGUCGAUGGGAAACAGGUUAAUAUUCCUGUACUUGGUGUUACUGCGAAGGGGGGACGGAGAAGGCUAUGUUGGCCGGGCGACGGUUGUCCCGGUUUAAGCGUGUAGGCUGGUUUUCCAGGCAAAUCCGGAAAAUCAAGGCUGAGGCGUGAUGACGAGGCACUACGGUGCUGAAGCAACAAAUGCCCUGCUUCCAGGAAAAGCCUCUAAGCAUCAGGUAACAUCAAAUCGUACCCCAAACCGACACAGGUGGUCAGGUAGAGAAUACCAAGGCGCUUGAGAGAACUCGGGUGAAGGAACUAGGCAAAAUGGUGCCGUAACUUCGGGAGAAGGCACGCUGAUAUGUAGGUGAAGUCCCUCGCGGAUGGAGCUGAAAUCAGUCGAAGAUACCAGCUGGCUGCAACUGUUUAUUAAAAACACAGCACUGUGCAAACACGAAAGUGGACGUAUACGGUGUGACGCCUGCCCGGUGCCGGAAGGUUAAUUGAUGGGGUUAGCGCAAGCGAAGCUCUUGAUCGAAGCCCCGGUAAACGGCGGCCGUAACUAUAACGGUCCUAAGGUAGCGAAAUUCCUUGUCGGGUAAGUUCCGACCUGCACGAAUGGCGUAAUGAUGGCCAGGCUGUCUCCACCCGAGACUCAGUGAAAUUGAACUCGCUGUGAAGAUGCAGUGUACCCGCGGCAAGACGGAAAGACCCCGUGAACCUUUACUAUAGCUUGACACUGAACAUUGAGCCUUGAUGUGUAGGAUAGGUGGGAGGCUUUGAAGUGUGGACGCCAGUCUGCAUGGAGCCGACCUUGAAAUACCACCCUUUAAUGUUUGAUGUUCUAACGUGGACCCGUAAUCCGGGUUGCGGACAGUGUCUGGUGGGUAGUUUGACUGGGGCGGUCUCCUCCUAAAGAGUAACGGAGGAGCACGAAGGUUGGCUAAUCCUGGUCGGACAUCAGGAGGUUAGUGCAAUGGCAUAAGCCAGCUUGACUGCGAGCGUGACGGCGCGAGCAGGUGCGAAAGCAGGUCAUAGUGAUCCGGUGGUUCUGAAUGGAAGGGCCAUCGCUCAACGGAUAAAAGGUACUCCGGGGAUAACAGGCUGAUACCGCCCAAGAGUUCAUAUCGACGGCGGUGUUUGGCACCUCGAUGUCGGCUCAUCACAUCCUGGGGCUGAAGUAGGUCCCAAGGGUAUGGCUGUUCGCCAUUUAAAGUGGUACGCGAGCUGGGUUUAGAACGUCGUGAGACAGUUCGGUCCCUAUCUGCCGUGGGCGCUGGAGAAUUGAGGGGGGCUGCUCCUAGUACGAGAGGACCGGAGUGGACGCAUCACUGGUGUUCGGGUUGUCAUGCCAAUGGCACUGCCCGGUAGCUAAAUGCGGAAGAGAUAAGUGCUGAAAGCAUCUAAGCACGAAACUUGCCCCGAGAUGAGUUCUCCCUGACUCCUUGA
RNAcentral lists this ribosomal RNA (2789 nucleotides) under Escherichia coli. RNAcentral describes it as "bacterial LSU rRNA". It matches the Rfam family "Bacterial large subunit ribosomal RNA". Lineage: Bacteria; Pseudomonadati; Pseudomonadota; Gammaproteobacteria; Enterobacterales; Enterobacteriaceae. The record is from RNAcentral.